AUUGAACGCUGGCGGCAUGCCUUACUCAUGCAAGUCGAACGGUAACAGGUUAAGCUGACGAGUGGCGAACGGGUGAGUAAUAUAUCGGAACGUGCCCAGUCGUGGGGAGUAACUGCUCGAAGAAGCAGCUAAUACCGCCAUACGACCUGAGGGUGGAAAGACGGGGGAGUCGCAAGACCUCGCGCGAUUGGUAGCGGCCGAUAUCAGAUUAGGUAGUUGGUGGGGUAAAGGACCACCAAGCCAACGAUCUGUAGCUGGUCUGAGA
Molecule: ribosomal RNA, 265 nt
Filed under: uncultured bacterium
Lineage: Bacteria
Description: partial 16S ribosomal RNA
Rfam family: Bacterial small subunit ribosomal RNA
Source: RNAcentral